This 1125-nucleotide long non-coding RNA is filed under the name Canis lupus familiaris (dog). Its description in RNAcentral is "lncRNA (ENSCAFG00040023361.1)". The record is from RNAcentral. Lineage: Eukaryota; Metazoa; Chordata; Mammalia; Carnivora; Canidae.
AUGGUGGCUCCAGGAGGGUUGCUGGGUCGGUCCGCCGGAGGCCUGUCUGUUGCUGGAGCUUCUGCAGGCUUGUCCCCAAGCACACUGGGGGGCACUCAGCAGCCCCCCCCCACCCACAUGGGCUCAUGUCCCCCACCUGCCGGGGCAGCAGGUCUCGGGCCAGAACUUGACACAAUGAACACAGGUCAUGCAACUUGCUUUUGUUCCCUUUGGCUCCUUUCCUCAGAAGGAGCAGCGCCCCCUGCGCGAGGACGUGGCCUCGGCUCGGGCCUGGAGGCUGGCUCUCCUCUCGGCCAGGCGGGCAGAGGCGCUGCUGAGCCCACAGGGCGGGCCUCUGCCCACAGCCGCCCCAGGAAGGGCCCCGGGCGGUGUCACCCCAGCAGCGCUGGCCGGGCCCCCAGGGGCCACCUCGGGGACCGCAGGACGGGCGGCACAGCCCCUCUCGGGCAGCACUUCCCGUGGGUCUCAACGACCAUGCUGGGAAGGUGGGGACACGAGCAGGUGGGGACUUGCUGUGGGACAGAGGUGGGGGGAGCCCUUUGGGGUCCAGGGGGCCCGUGGGACCUGGAGGCAGAGGCUUCCAGGAGAAGCAGAGGUGCAGACUCUGAGGGGCUGAGAGCGGUGCCCCCACAGCCUAGCAAGCGACAGCACGCCCCAAACGUCCUCGGCAACAACAGGGCGGGCUGCCGGGGGCCCAGGGGACUCGGGGCUCCCUCCUUUGGGGGGGAGGGGGCGGGAAGCCCAGCCUGCAUUGGCCCUGGAGCAGGCGCCUGGGGGUGCCCACAUGCCCUCAGCCCGGAGGGGGAGGCUCCCUGCACGAGGACAGUGGGUCCUGGGGGGCCCAUCACAGCAGGGCCGCCCCCAGCCACCCUGGGGCGUUACAGAUGGGGUGGGUCUGUGCGCCCUGAGACCCGAGCACGUGGGGAGUCUGUGCCACCCGGAGGCUGUGUGCUCGUGGGAGGGUGCGCUGUCCCGAGGGGCUGCGAUGAGGGGCUGUGCGGCCACGGGAGGGUGUGUGGUCAUGGGUGGCCGCGGUCGAGGGACGGUGCGCGGGCACGGGAAGGCUCGCCGUCAUGGGAGGGCGUGCACGGCUGCACUGGGGCCACUGGCUUUAUUUUUUUUUAA